AAGGAUCACAUAGAUCUUAAACUGAAGAGUUUGAUCAUGGCUCAGAUUGAACGCUGGCGGCAGGCCUAACACAUGCAAGUCGAGCGGUAACAGGGGUAGCUUGCUACCCGCUGACGAGCGGCGGACGGGUGAGUA
This 135-nucleotide ribosomal RNA is filed under the name Halomonas sp. ATBC28. Its description in RNAcentral is "partial 16S ribosomal RNA". The stretch from base 19 to 135 matches the Rfam family "Bacterial small subunit ribosomal RNA", at positions 1 to 112 of the family's 1533-position model. Lineage: Bacteria; Pseudomonadati; Pseudomonadota; Gammaproteobacteria; Oceanospirillales; Halomonadaceae. The record is from RNAcentral.